AUACGUAACCUGGCAGAGAAUAUACCCUGAUCACAAAGGUGGUUUUCCCAGGGCAAGGCUUAUCCAUUGCACUCCAGGUGUGCUGACCCCUGUGAUUUCCCCAAAUGUGGGAAACUCGACUGCAUAAUUUGUGGUAGUGGGGGAUUGUGUUUACAUUCUUCCCUA
Talpa occidentalis (Iberian mole) is the source of this 165-nucleotide small nuclear RNA. RefSeq annotates it as U1 spliceosomal RNA. The transcript has a single exon. Lineage: Eukaryota; Metazoa; Chordata; Mammalia; Eulipotyphla; Talpidae. The record is from RefSeq and is a predicted model, not a curated record.